RNAcentral lists this ribosomal RNA (301 nucleotides) under uncultured bacterium. Its description in RNAcentral is "partial 16S ribosomal RNA". It matches the Rfam family "Bacterial small subunit ribosomal RNA", at positions 509 to 807 of the family's 1533-position model. The record is from RNAcentral.
CAGUCGCCACGGGAAUACGUAGGGUGCGAGCGUUAAUCGGAAUUACUGGGCGUAAAGCGUGCGCAGGCGGUGAUGUAAGACAGAUGUGAAAUCCCCGGGCUCAACCUGGGAACUGCAUUAGUGACUGCAUCGCUGGAGUGCGGCAGAGGGGGAUGGAAUUCCGCGCGUAGCAGUGAAAUGCGUAGAUAUGCGGAGGAACACCGAUGGCGAAGGCAAUCCCCUGGGCCUGCACUGACGCUCAUGCACGAAAGCGUGGGGAGCAAACAGGAUUAGAUACCCCAGUAGUCCCUGUCUCUUAUAC